RNAcentral lists this transfer RNA (69 nucleotides) under Saxifraga aphylla. RNAcentral describes it as "partial tRNA-Leu". Lineage: Eukaryota; Viridiplantae; Streptophyta; Magnoliopsida; Saxifragales; Saxifragaceae. The record is from RNAcentral. RNAcentral also lists the same sequence under 9 other names.
AAAAUCCGUCGACUUUAGAAAUCGUGAGGGUUCAAGUCCCUCUAUCCCCCUCAAAAAGGGCCCGUUUGA